Molecule: non-coding RNA, 89 nt
Filed under: Pseudomonas sp. SJZ074
Lineage: Bacteria; Pseudomonadati; Pseudomonadota; Gammaproteobacteria; Pseudomonadales; Pseudomonadaceae
Also listed under: 5 other names
Source: RNAcentral
UGUGGGAGCGGGCUUGCUCGCGAAUGCGGCGUGUCAGUCGCCAUUGACUCCACUGAUGCACCGCUUUCGCGAGCAAGCCCGCUCCCACA